UUAAAACAAAUACAAUAAGGAGAGAAAAUAAGUGUUUGUACAAAGAUCAGGGUGGCUGUCUAAUCUGACAGGAAUGUUGGACUAAGCUGUGCAUCCUUUACUCUUGAGUGACCAUCAUUAUCCUAAUUCUCCGUUUUUACGUGAAUUUGUGUCAGAAAAUACUCCAUCAUCAACAUCAACAACAACAAUCACCAUCGUCAUCAUACAGCGUCAAACCGCCCUCCUAACCCACAAAAGCAAACCUACAGGUGUCAAUGCACCGAGUGCCCGUCGACACGGAAGAACGCUCAACCAUAAAUUAUGUACAACGAUUCCUAUCUUACGGCCGGGUACACAAUACCCCGGGUGGACCUCACACCCUGCACCCUGACCUCGGCUAUUACGUCACACCAUUUCGACUGAACCAGUCUAUCCGUUGGUGGAGGGCACAGACAAUCACUGUGUUGCAGGUGUGUUAGGGUGGCAGGGUGGAGUCGGCAAUGACGUCCUCACCUGUAGUUCUCUCCCUGACGAUCGUCUGCCUGGGUGGAACCAAGUACAACCACGACUACACUGUGCACUGCCAGCACCUUUGACCUCGCAAGGCAAAAUGCAAAUGAAUCUCUUGUCAUGAGUUGUGGCAGGUCUCGUGUACAAUGACGUCUUGUGUCUGACGUCUUGCGUGCGUCAUUUGCUCCACGUCACUUGAAGCAGAAAAAUGACGUCAUAGGUAAGAGAACAGAAGCUCUCUAAUGGCCGAGUGAGCAAGAAAUCGUCGUCCGCCAUUUUCUUUACAAAUAUCUCAGUGACAUUCCUCUGAACUUGUGUCUGUUCGAUUUAUCUACGAAUCUCUUCAUCCUCAUCGUCAUCUGCGGGGCUCGUGUUGUGCGCAUGGAAGUGUCUGAUGACUAAUGUAUGCGGAGAGCACAAGGUAGAUAACACAAGGUGAUGAUCACGCCAGGCAACCUCGAGCAGGUUACCACUGGGACCACUUCUUAAUCACGAGACAAGGAUUGCCAUGUUAAACGCCUCCACCAUUCCAUCCAAACCGGGUGGAGGACCCCCCAAAGAUCAAUGCUAAUCACUGAAUACACAUUAAUUUGUAGAGACAAAGCCACCCGUUCAAAUCAAGGGGAGAAAACAGCUAUUUUGAAAGCGGCAGUUGAACCGGGAGUUUCUAUAGAACGAAAUGAUCACGUGGGUACCAUGGAAUAGGGGUCUGCAAGGGAAGGAGAGUUGGGUGGGAAAAAAUUCUAGUCUGUAGGUUUGUGAAGUCUGCAGCCCGGGUAUCGUCGCCUGCACUGAGAAGGUUUCUGGUGUCCCAGAUGACCUGAGUUCAACUUACCGUGCAACUUUCACGUAAAUCAACGAAAACCUCACUGUGUUUUGUGUCAACACAACAACUGUUUGCGUCAACACAACCUAGUCUGUGGACAAAACGUCCUGGGGAAAAAAAAAAAA
Molecule: long non-coding RNA, 1440 nt
Organism: Pomacea canaliculata
Lineage: Eukaryota; Metazoa; Mollusca; Gastropoda; Architaenioglossa; Ampullariidae
Exons: 2
Source: RefSeq, a predicted model, not a curated record